Molecule: transfer RNA, 74 nt
Filed under: Caudoviricetes sp.
Lineage: Duplodnaviria; Heunggongvirae; Uroviricota; Caudoviricetes
Description: tRNA-Lys
Rfam family: tRNA
About the family: Transfer RNA (tRNA) molecules are approximately 80 nucleotides in length. Their secondary structure includes four short double-helical elements and three loops (D, anti-codon, and T loops).
Source: RNAcentral
GCGCCUGUAAUUCAAUGGAAGAAUAUAUGACUUUUAAUCAUACUACAACGGAUCGUAACCGUUCAGGCGCACCA